CCCGCCGCGGCCAGCCGCGCCUGCCUGGAGCCCCCUGGCCAGCGGCCGGCCGCUGGGGCCGAGUAUUGUCCCAAAGGCCGAAAAGAGACGAAAGCGGGGAGAUUGGGGGACAGCCACGUGACCGGGGGAGGAUUUACAAUAUUUUCUUUCGCUGUCGACAGUAUUGCAAAAUGUAUGGAAGGGACCGCACGGCCAGGACAGGAGCGUGAGCGCGCGGGCAAGACAGGUUUUCGAAGCGCCCGCGCUGUGCCCGCCGGAGCCCGGGGUCUCUCCAUUUCACCCGGGAGGAAUCUGAGGGGCAGAGGCCAGCUUACCGACACGACACACGCUGAGGGGACUCAAACCCGGCUGUCGUAACCUGGGGACCACUCCCUCCACGGAUAUUUUUAUGUCAUUAUUGGGUUAAUGUUUGUUUCCCUCCAUCAAAUCGUUUCCCCCCUACCGGAAAUCUGAUGGGCUUAUGACAUCAUGGCUGCUGAGCGAUGAAGCAGAUGCCACAAAGAAAUCCGACAUAUCGGAUGGAUUCUGAAAUCAGUUUCCCUCUGGCUGCGGUAACAGGCGUGAAGUCAGGAGAAUGUGAGCUUUGUUUAAGAAACAAAAAAAUAAAACUAAGCCCUGUCCCGUAUUCGAUACAAUUUUUUUUUUUUAAGCAAACAGACCUUUUGGACAUCAUCCUAUUUUAAUAAAGACGCUGGCGUGUAUGAAAUGAAAGCGGCUAAUAAAUCAGACCUGAAGCUGCCUGUGAACAUUCCCUUUUGGCUGAGUUUUUGUGUGUCCUUCUUCACUAAUAAAAGAGGAACUGGGAA
Long non-coding RNA from Leopardus geoffroyi (Geoffroy's cat), 806 nucleotides. RefSeq lists it as uncharacterized. The transcript is spliced from 4 exons. Lineage: Eukaryota; Metazoa; Chordata; Mammalia; Carnivora; Felidae. The record is from RefSeq and is a predicted model, not a curated record.